GCAAGGUGCUGAAGUCAAACUUUGGGCCAGCCUGAAAAGCAGCAGUAAACAUGAUUGGCUUCCUGCUCUCGAAAGACCCAACACAGAGUCUAUCUCCCUGGUCAACACACCUGUCCCACGUUCUUCUCAAGAGCUGACC
This is a long non-coding RNA of Hippocampus comes (tiger tail seahorse), 139 nucleotides long. RefSeq lists it as uncharacterized. NCBI's taxonomy places the organism in Eukaryota, Metazoa, Chordata, Actinopteri, Syngnathiformes, Syngnathidae. The record is from RefSeq and is a predicted model, not a curated record. The transcript has 3 exons.